UCGUACGUACGGCGACCGGCGGCACGGGUGCGUAACGCGUAUAGCAACUACCCAUUACUAGGGGAGUAACACUGAGAAUCGGUACUAAUACCCCAUACAAUCCAGGAGGCAUCUCUUGGGUUGAAACUCCGUGGUAAUGGAUGGCAUGCGUUGUAUUAGUUAGUUGGUGGGGUAACGGCUCACCAAGACAACGAUACAUAGGGGGACUGAGAGGUUAACCCCCCACAUUGGUACUGAGACACGGACCAAACUCCUACGGGAGGCAGCAGUGAGGAAUAUUGAUCAAUGGACGCAAGUCUGAACCAGCCAUGCCGCGUGCAGGAAGACGGCUCUAUGAGUUGUAAACUGCUUUUGUACGAGGGUAAACGCAGAUACGCGUAUCUGUCUGAAAGUAUCGUACGAAUAAGGAUCGGCUAACUCCGUG
RNAcentral lists this ribosomal RNA (424 nucleotides) under uncultured Alistipes sp. RNAcentral's name for it is "bacterial SSU rRNA". It matches the Rfam family "Bacterial small subunit ribosomal RNA", at positions 75 to 507 of the family's 1533-position model. Lineage: Bacteria; Pseudomonadati; Bacteroidota; Bacteroidia; Bacteroidales; Rikenellaceae. The record is from RNAcentral.